UUGGAGUCUACUGUCGGCUGGGCACUCUCAGGCCCACCAAAAAAUUUGUACAGACCCGCUUAAGGAAAUAUACCCGAAAAACGGAUAUGAAGAUAACUGUGCGUAGGUUUCAUGGACCCCCGAAGACUAGUCGGGUCCAAAGGAAACUACUCUACCGAAUUAAAGUAGGACUCUGUAAUGUACUCGACUAGAACUCCUGCCCUGUAACCCUAUUCCCCGACUAUAUAAGAGCGAGCAAGGACCCCCUCCAAACAACAAGGGCAACUCGACACAAGUUCAAUACAACCAACACACAGGAUGUAUGAUAUUACGCGAUCUAGCGGCCCAAACCUUUGUCACCAUCAACUUUCUUGAUUCUCGACGACACCCACCAUACAAAAGGCCCAAACUUGUGUCACCAUCAACUUUCUUGAUUCUCGACGACACCCACCACACAAAAGACCACCUUAGGUACUCCCUAGGCAGGUUGCCAUUCUAAAACAUCGACAGUUGGUAGCGGCCCAAACCUAUGUCACCAUCAACUUUCUUGAUUCUCGACGACACCC
This 545-nucleotide long non-coding RNA is filed under the name Setaria viridis. Its description in RNAcentral is "long non-coding RNA (SVIR_LNC003863)". Lineage: Eukaryota; Viridiplantae; Streptophyta; Magnoliopsida; Poales; Poaceae. The record is from RNAcentral.